RNAcentral lists this ribosomal RNA (497 nucleotides) under uncultured bacterium. RNAcentral's name for it is "partial 16S ribosomal RNA". It matches the Rfam family "Bacterial small subunit ribosomal RNA", at positions 28 to 507 of the family's 1533-position model. The record is from RNAcentral.
GAUGAACGCUGGCGGCGUGCCUAAUACAUGCAAGUCGAGCGAACAGACGAGGAGCUUGCUCCUCUGACGUUAGCGGCGGACGGGUGAGUAACACGUGGAUAACCUACCUAUAAGACUGGGAUAACUUCGGGAAACCGGAGCUAAUACCGGAUAAUAUAUUGAACCGCAUGGUUCAAUAGUGAAAGACGGUUUUGCUGUCACUUAUAGAUGGAUCCGCGCCGCAUUAGCUAGUUGGUAAGGUAACGGCUUACCAAGGCAACGAUGCGUAGCCGACCUGAGAGGGGGAUAGGCCACCCUGGAACGGAGACACGGUCAAGACUACUACGGGAGGCAGCAGUAGGGAAUCUUCCGCAAUGGGCGAAAGCCUGACGGAGCAACGCCGCGUGAGUGAUGAAGGUCUUCGGAUCGUAAAACUCUGUUAUUAGGGAAGAACAAAUGUGUAAGUAACUAUGCACGUCUUGACGGUACCUAAUCAGAAAGCCACGGCUAACUACGUG